Panicum hallii is the source of this 1316-nucleotide RNA transcript. It is a transcript of the gene named protein OVEREXPRESSOR OF CATIONIC PEROXIDASE 3, with no coding region annotated. The transcript has 5 exons. The record is from RefSeq and is a predicted model, not a curated record. NCBI's taxonomy places the organism in Eukaryota, Viridiplantae, Streptophyta, Magnoliopsida, Poales, Poaceae.
GGUAGAAGGGAGGGCUGCGAAAUAUCCGAAGAGCUCGCGGAAAUGGCGACGGUGCUGCCGCUCGCCGUGCUCGCCGCCGCCCCUGCCUCGGCCGCACCGAGGACUUGCAUCUCCAGCGCCUCAGUCCCCGAGCCCUUCCUCGGAACCCUCGCGCGUCUCCGCCUCCGCAGCGCGCCGCGGGGCGUCGCCUGCGCCCUCCGCCGUAGGCCCUCCAAAUACAAGACUAAAAUCCAGAGUGAGGAGGAGGUGGUGCCUGCAGAAGCUGUCAUGGACGACGAUGAUGAGGAUGGUGCAUUGGAAGCACUUUUCAAGCAGCUGGAAGAAGAUCUUGAGAAUGAUGAUUUAUCUGUUGACGACGAUGAAGAUGAGAUAUCAGAAGAAGAUAUGGCCAGAUUUGAAAAGGAGUUGGCAGAAGCAAUUGAAGAAGUCGGUGGCGUUGAUGAAUCAGCAGGAGAUUCAUUACUGAGCUCUGCAGACUAUGGUAAUGAUGAGCAAAUAGAUGGGAGCCAACGACCAGAGCUGAAAACCUGGCAACUCAGGAGAUUGGCUCGUGCACUGAAAAUAGGUCGGCGUAAAACUAGUAUAAAGAAUCUUGCAGGGGAGCUAGGCUUAGAUAGGGCUUUGGUCAUUGAACUGCUCCGCAAUCCACCACCAAAACUUCUACUCAUGUCUGAUUCUUUGCCUGAUGAAGCCCCUUCUAAGCCUGAAGUGAAGGAACAAGAACCCCCUAAUUCAGCCACUGUUGAUGAGGUUGAUACCAGUGAAAUCGAGCCACAGGUGGAUCUUCCGGUUCAUGUCAUGAGCGCAGAAUGGUCUGCGCGGAAAAGACUAAAAAAGGUGCAACUUGAGACCUUGGAAAGAGUCUACUUGCGGAGCAAACGCCCCACGAAUACAAUGAUCAGCAGCAUAGUUCAAGUGACAAACCUUCCACGAAAGACCAUUGUCAAGUGGUUUGAGGAUAGAAGGGAACAAGAUGGAGUCCCUGACCAUCGUGUUGCAUUCAAGAGAUCCCUAUCUGAGACUGUAGCUAGUUCAUAACUUCUUCAGAUAAGCCUUUAUUAUAGUGUUCGCAUGGAAACUCUUAUGAGCCUGUAAUUUGAACUUUUAAAGUAUGACAAGUUUUGCAAGCCCAACAUGGAGUAUCUUUAGAUUGUAGCAAUACUAUCAGAUCAGCCAGUGUGACAGUGGAAUGUAGAAACUGUUGAAGAACGCUUUUCUGGUAACUCUCAGGAAAUUGUCUUCCACCUGCAGUGGGUUUGGUGAUGGACAUCUAGCUUCUUCUAUGCACUUGUCUUCUCUUCCUCCACAUGCUCAUG